GGUUAAUUCAUUAAUGUAUUUUCAAAGAGAAAUAUGCAUUUCACUAUAUAAUGAUAAUACAUUUGUAGUCUUAAUUUAAUGGUAAAUGUACCCUUAAUCAUACAACAUUCAAGUUCGAACUCUUCUCUAUUAGUAAGUUUUGACUUAAUGACAUUAGAGUCUAUGCAAAGCUAUGAUAAAAUCUAAAUCGCCUUCACUUAAAGAGUCUUAUCAAGAAAUAUUGUUGAGGUUUCCACAGUCAAAAUCAGCUCUCUCCAAUAAAACUCCAGCAAGAAAUUUUACCAAAAUUCUAUCCCUUAAGAAGUUCAAUAAUUUUCCAUCACUUUGUUGUAUAAACCCAACCAAAUAAGCAGUAGUUAUGAGUUGAAAGCUUCUCCAUCUCCUCUGUGAUGCAUAAUUUUUCAACCCAAUUUCAAUUCUCUUAAAUUCUUCCUUAUCUCUCUCUUCAUUUGCUACAAUCACUUGUUUUUUCAAAGCCUGAGCCAGGCACCUAGCUAAGACUAUGCCAUCUUCCAAGGCAGCACAGCCACCCUGGCCAAUAUCUGGUGUCAUGGGAUGGAGAGCAUCUCCA
This 571-nucleotide unclassified non-coding RNA is filed under the name Hevea brasiliensis (rubber tree). Lineage: Eukaryota; Viridiplantae; Streptophyta; Magnoliopsida; Malpighiales; Euphorbiaceae. The record is from RNAcentral.